UACGUAGGUGGCAAGCGUUGUCCGGAUUUAUUGGGUUAAGGGUGCGUAGGCGGUUCCAUAGUCAGUGGUGAAUACGGCAGCUCAACUGUCGAGGUGCCAUGAUACUGCGGAACUUGAGUGUUGAUGAGGCAGGCGGAAGUUGACGGUGAGCGGUGAAUGCUUAGAUAUCGUCAGGAACGCCAAUGGUGAAGACAGGUAACUGGCUAGUUCUGACACUGGAGGCACAAAAGCGUGGGAGCGGAACGGG
This 247-nucleotide ribosomal RNA is filed under the name uncultured bacterium. RNAcentral's name for it is "partial 16S ribosomal RNA". It matches the Rfam family "Bacterial small subunit ribosomal RNA", at positions 524 to 776 of the family's 1533-position model. The record is from RNAcentral.